Molecule: non-coding RNA, 77 nt
Filed under: Protocruzia adhaerens
Lineage: Eukaryota; Ciliophora; Spirotrichea
Source: RNAcentral
AAAAAAAACAAACGAGUAAGGGAAAUUAACACAAUAGUACGUUCAGGUUUUUCCUUUUUUUGUUUUUUGUUUUUUUG